GAUUUCUUGGGGAAGAAGAAGGAGGAGGAGAAGCCUGUUCAUCAUGAACAGAUGGUCAGCGAGUUCGAGAAAGUCAAGGUGUCUGAGCCUGAGCCAGCUUAUGUAGACUGCAGCAGCAAACCUGUUGAGCAUGGCUAUCAUCACGAGGAACCUAAGGAGGAACAUAAGAAGGAGGAGGAGAAGAAGCAUGAAACUCUCUCCGAGAAGCUUCGCCGAUCCGACAGCAGCUCCAGCUCGGUAAGUCGAUCACCUCUUACUACAAUGAUACGUUUCAAUUGAACUACUUAACCAACCAGUUCACUGCUACCUACUACUAUAGUGAUCUUUCUUAAACGCAUUGUGUUUCAUGAUUAAUAUGUUUGACUAAUAAUAUAUUGGACGAUGAAUUUGCAGUCAAGUGACGAGGAAGGAGACGAUGAAGAGAAAAAAAGAAGAGGAAGGAGAAGAAGGGACUGAAGGAGAAGCUCAAGGAGAAGAUCGCCGGCGACAAAGAAGAAGAAGAGAAGAAGAAACACGGCUACGAGCAGGACACUGAGGUCCCGGUGGAGAAGUUCCACGAGGAACAAGAACAUCCCUACGAUCACGGCCCGCACCACCAUGAGGAGCCAAAAGUUGAGCCAACAGUAGCCUACACAGAGGAGCAGAAGAAGGAGGACGAGAAGAAGGGUUUCCUUGAGAAGAUCAAGGACAAGCUUCCCGGACACAAGAAGCCGGAAGAUGUUCCCGUUGCGUCUCCACCACCGCCGGAGUAUGAAAAUGUUGAGC
Molecule: long non-coding RNA, 765 nt
Filed under: Fragaria vesca (wild strawberry)
Lineage: Eukaryota; Viridiplantae; Streptophyta; Magnoliopsida; Rosales; Rosaceae
Description: long non-coding RNA (FVES_LNC000877)
Source: RNAcentral